CCUACGGGAGGCAGCAGUGAGGAAUAUUGGUCAAUGGACGAGAGUCUGAACCAGCCAAGCCGCGUGAAGGAUGACUGCCCUAUGGGUUGUAAACUUCUUUUAUAAAGGAAUAAAACGAGGCACGUGUGCCUUUUUGCAUGUACUUUAUGAAUAAGGAUCGGCUAACUCCGUGCCAGCAGCCGCGGUAAUACGGAGGAUCCGAGCGUUAUCCGGAUUUAUUGGGUUUAAAGGGAGCGUAGAUGGUUUGUUAAGUCAGUUGUGAAAGUUUGUGGCUCAACCGUAAAAUUGCAAUUGAUACUGGCAGUCUUGAGUACAGUUGAGGUAGGCGGAAUUCGUGGUGUAGCGGUGAAAUGCUUAGAUAUCACGAAGAACCCCGAUUGCGAAGGCAGCUUGCUAAACUGUGACUGACAUUGAUGCUCGAAAGUGUGGGUAUCAAACAGGAUUAGAUACCCGGGUAGUC
This 460-nucleotide ribosomal RNA is filed under the name uncultured bacterium. RNAcentral describes it as "partial 16S ribosomal RNA". It matches the Rfam family "Bacterial small subunit ribosomal RNA", at positions 338 to 795 of the family's 1533-position model. The record is from RNAcentral.